CCUACGGGUGGCUGCAGUGGGGAAUAUUGGACAAUGGGCGAAAGUCUGAUCCAGCCAUGCCGCGUGUGUGAAGAAGGCCUUCGGGUUGUAAAGCACUUUCAGUGGGGAAGAAAGCCUUGGGGCUAAUACCCUCGAGGAAGGACAUCACCCACAGAAGAAGCACCGGCUAACUCCGUGCCAGCAGCCGCGGUAAUACGGAGGGUGCGAGCGUUAAUCGGAAUUACUGGGCGUAAAGCGCGCGUAGGCGGUCUGAUAAGCCGGUUGUGAAAGCCCCGGGCUCAACCUGGGAACGGCAUCCGGAACUGUCAGGCUAGAGUGCAGGAGAGGAAGGUAGAAUUCCCGGUGUAGCGGUGAAAUGCGUAGAGAUCGGGAGGAAUACCAGUGGCGAAGGCGGCCUUCUGGACUGACACUGACGCUGAGGUGCGAAAGCGUGGGUAGCAAACAGGAUUAGAUACCCUUGUAGUC
Molecule: ribosomal RNA, 465 nt
Filed under: Vreelandella stevensii
Lineage: Bacteria; Pseudomonadati; Pseudomonadota; Gammaproteobacteria; Oceanospirillales; Halomonadaceae
Description: partial 16S ribosomal RNA
Rfam family: Bacterial small subunit ribosomal RNA
Source: RNAcentral